This 487-nucleotide ribosomal RNA is filed under the name uncultured bacterium. RNAcentral describes it as "partial 16S ribosomal RNA". It matches the Rfam family "Bacterial small subunit ribosomal RNA", at positions 28 to 507 of the family's 1533-position model. The record is from RNAcentral.
GACGAACGCUGGCGGCGUGCUUAACACAUGCAAGUCGAACGCGCCUGUCCUCUGGGUUUCUGGGGGGUGGGUGAGUGGCGAACGGGUGAGUAACACGUGAGUAACCUGCCCCCUUCUUCGGGAUAACGGUCUGAAAGGGCUGCUAAUACCGGGUAUUCACUGGUCUCCGCAUGGGGUCUGGUGGAAAGGUUUUUUUCUGGUGGGGAUGGGCUCGCGGCCUAUCAGCUUGUUGGUGGGGUGAUGGCCCACCAAGGCUUUGACGGGUAGCCGGCCUGAGAGGGUGACCGGUCACAUUGGGACUGAGAUACGGCCCAGACUCCUACGGGAGGCAGCAGUGGGGAAUAUUGCACAAUGGGCGCAAGCCUGAUGCAGCGACGCCGCGUGAGGGAUGGAGGCCUUCGGGUUGUGAACCUCUUUCGCCCGUGGUCAAGCCGCGACGUGGGUCGUGGUGAGGGUAGUGGGUAAAGAAGCGCCGGCUAACUACGUG